This 354-nucleotide ribosomal RNA is filed under the name Triticum aestivum (bread wheat). Its description in RNAcentral is "partial small subunit ribosomal RNA". The record is from RNAcentral. Lineage: Eukaryota; Viridiplantae; Streptophyta; Magnoliopsida; Poales; Poaceae.
AUGCAUGGAGUUGCACCUAUUGCACUGGCACCCGAAGUUGCAAAACUGGCAUGGAAGAAGAAUCUCAAGGUCGUUGAUGCUCUGACAAACAAUCUUUGGAUGAAGGGGUUACAUAGGAUGAACAACGAAGAGCAAGUGCAGCAAUUUAUUUCCUUAUGGGAGAAGAUCCAGGAAGUGCAGUUGUCUCAUGACGAUGAUGGCAUCACGUGGAUUCUUAACUCCAAAGGAAUUUACACGGCUAAAGAUGCCUAUGAAGCCCAAUUCUUGGGACGAAUUAGGCAGCCACUCCUAGAGAAAGCAUGGAAAGUGAAGGCUGAAAACAAGAUUAAAUUCUACCUUUGGUUACUGGUCUAG